Molecule: small nucleolar RNA, 269 nt
Filed under: Tinamus guttatus (white-throated tinamou)
Lineage: Eukaryota; Metazoa; Chordata; Aves; Tinamiformes; Tinamidae
Description: Small Cajal body specific RNA 6
Rfam family: Small Cajal body specific RNA 6
About the family: U88 is small Cajal body specific RNA (scaRNA). scaRNAs are a novel class of small nuclear RNAs which localise to the Cajal bodies.
Source: Rfam by way of RNAcentral
GGUCGAUGAUGACAAGUAAAAGGUCUGAGGGCACAGGGAAUUGCACUCCCUGACCCCUUGGCUCCCAGCACUCCCUGUUCGGUCACGCUGCAGCAGAGCUGUGAUGGAGGGAGGGACUGCUGACAGUUUGGGAUUAAUUCAGUCCCAGUUCUCCACAGUGAAGGGAGUUGUGGCACUGGAUGUCGUCCAACAGAACUGCUUAAGAGGAGCUCGGGGUGCUGGGGUGUCUUCAUUUGUUGUGUGUGAUCUAAAGUUUUCAAGCUGAGACC